GACGAACGCUGGCGGCGUGCCUAAUACAUGCAAGUAGAACGCUGAAGGAGGAGCUUGCUUCUCUGGAUGAGUUGCGAACGGGUGAGUAACGCGUAGGUAACCUGCCUGGUAGCGGGGGAUAACUAUUGGAAACGAUAGCUAAUACCGCAUAAGAGUAGAUGUUGCAUAACAUUUGCUUAAAAGGUGCAAUUGCAUCACUACCAGAUGGACCUGCGUUGUAUUAGCUAGUUGGUGGGGUAACGGCUCACCAAGGCAACGAUACAUAGCCGACCUGAGAGGGUGAUCGGCCACACUGGGACUGAGACACGGCCCAGACUCCUACGGGAGGCAGCAGUAGGGAAUCUUCGGCAAUGGACGGAAGUCUGACCGAGCAACGCCGCGUGAGUGAAGAAGGUUUUCGGAUCGUAAAGCUCUGUUGUAAGAGAAGAACGAGUGUGAGAGUGGAAAGUUCACACUGUGACGGUAUCUUACCAGAAAGGACGGCUAA
This 487-nucleotide ribosomal RNA is filed under the name Streptococcus mitis. RNAcentral describes it as "bacterial SSU rRNA". It matches the Rfam family "Bacterial small subunit ribosomal RNA", at positions 28 to 500 of the family's 1533-position model. The record is from RNAcentral. Lineage: Bacteria; Bacillati; Bacillota; Bacilli; Lactobacillales; Streptococcaceae.